UGCACCUAUAGCGCAAUUGGAUAGAGCGUCUGACUACGAAUCAGGAGGUUGCAGGUUCGACUCCUGCUAGGUGCA
This 75-nucleotide transfer RNA is filed under the name Leuconostoc kimchii IMSNU 11154. RNAcentral describes it as "tRNA-Arg". It matches the Rfam family "tRNA". Rfam says of the family: Transfer RNA (tRNA) molecules are approximately 80 nucleotides in length. Their secondary structure includes four short double-helical elements and three loops (D, anti-codon, and T loops). Lineage: Bacteria; Bacillati; Bacillota; Bacilli; Lactobacillales; Lactobacillaceae. The record is from RNAcentral.